GGUUCCAUAGCUCAGCUGGAUAGAGCACCAGAUUUCUAAUCUGGGGGUCGAAGGUUCGAGUCCUUCUGGGAUCGCCA
This 77-nucleotide transfer RNA is filed under the name Pseudobdellovibrionaceae bacterium. RNAcentral's name for it is "Bdellovibrionaceae bacterium tRNA-Arg". It matches the Rfam family "tRNA". Rfam says of the family: Transfer RNA (tRNA) molecules are approximately 80 nucleotides in length. Their secondary structure includes four short double-helical elements and three loops (D, anti-codon, and T loops). The record is from RNAcentral. Lineage: Bacteria; Pseudomonadati; Bdellovibrionota; Bdellovibrionia; Bdellovibrionales; Pseudobdellovibrionaceae.